RNAcentral lists this long non-coding RNA (552 nucleotides) under Salmo salar (Atlantic salmon). RNAcentral's name for it is "lncRNA (ENSSSAG00000110079.1)". Lineage: Eukaryota; Metazoa; Chordata; Actinopteri; Salmoniformes; Salmonidae. The record is from RNAcentral.
AGUUGACAUGUCAUCACUUCAUUUUUUGCGCCUGCGCAUAAAUCUGAGAGAUGUGAGUUUGUCAUCAUUGUUUAUCUAGACAUAGGAUAGGUUGUGUGAAAAUAUUACUGAUGUUUAACGUUAAAAAUGGACCAAAAGAUUAAUGCUAAACAACAUUUGACAUGUUUGAACGAACAUAAAUAGAUUAUUUACUAGGUUUUUUUUUAGCUUUUCGGCGUGAUUUUACACUCCCCCCACCACGUUUUGUGGGAGCAUAAUGAACGCUAAGUACUUUGUGUUAUUUGGACAUAAAUUAUGAACUUUGUCAAAAGAAACCACAUUUGUUCCGGACCUGGGAUGCCUUCCGGACCUGGGAUGCCUGCCUUCUGAUGGAGAUAAUCAAAGGCUCCAGCCAACAGUGAAUUUUCCACCCCAAAAAAGAAAAAAAAUGAAAAGGUAUGAGGUGACCAAUAGAAGAAAAUGUACAUUCAUUCUGAGGACACGGAAUGGGGUUUUGACAACCUCUGGAACACUUCUGAAGGAGAGUCUCAUGGAGCAUGGCCGUGUUUGAGA